GACGAACGCUGGCGGCGUGCCUAAUACAUGCAAGUUGCGCGAUGAAGAUUGGUGCUUGCUCCAAUUUGAAGAGCAGCGAACGGGUGAGUAACGCGUGGGGAAUCUGCCUUCGAGCGGGGGACAACAUUUGGAAACGAAUGCUAAUACCGCAUAACAACUUUAAACAUAAGUUUUAAGUUUGAAAGAUGCAAUUGCCUCACUCAAAGAUGAUCCCGCGUUGUAUUAGCUAGCUGGUGAGGUAAAGGCUCACCAAGGCGAUGAUACAUAGCCGACCUGAGAGGGUGAUCGGCCACAUUGGGACUGAGACACGGCCCAAACUCCUACGGGAGGCAGCAGUAGGGAAUCUUCGGCAAUGGACGAAAGUCUGACCGAGCAACGCCGCGUGAGUGAAGAAGGUUUUCGGAUCGUAAAACUCUGUUGGUAGAGAAGAACGUGGGUGAGAGUGGAAAGCUCAUCAAGUGACGGUAACUACCCAGAAAGGGACGGCUAACUACGUG
This 497-nucleotide ribosomal RNA is filed under the name uncultured bacterium. RNAcentral describes it as "partial 16S ribosomal RNA". It matches the Rfam family "Bacterial small subunit ribosomal RNA", at positions 28 to 507 of the family's 1533-position model. The record is from RNAcentral.